UGAGCCUACGAUAACCGUCAAAGACAUUCCACGUGUUGUCCAUCUGUUUCCAAUAAAAAAUGAAAAUACAUUAGCUGAAUUAGAGCAGUGGCUUAAUGCAGAUGAUCAAAAUAAAAAAGAUUUGAUUAUUGAAUUAAGUCGCGUUGGGGGCUUAAAUGUUAAAGAGAUCACAAGAAGAAUUAUGUACAAAAUCUUCACAAAUGAAGUUGGAAUACUAUACUCCUGGGAAGGAGCUAAAGGAAAGAAAUCCUUCAAAAAUCUAGCAAUAAGUUCGGUCAUUUUGGGUGCUGUUCGAUAUUGCAAGAAUACAGCCGAUGCAACUGAAGCAGAAGUUAUUAGUUUUAUCAAAUCUUGGCUGGUUAGAUGCAAAGAUCGUAUCUGCAAUGUCACUAAAAACGUGAAGAAUGUAGCAACCGAAGGGGAAGUAACGAUGAACGAAACCGAUAC
Molecule: non-coding RNA, 447 nt
Organism: Nylanderia fulva
Lineage: Eukaryota; Metazoa; Arthropoda; Insecta; Hymenoptera; Formicidae
Source: RefSeq, a predicted model, not a curated record